AAACCAACAGGGAUUGCCUUAGUAGCGGCGAGUGAAGCGGCAAUAGCUCAAAUUUGAAAUCUGGCGUCUUCGGCGUCCGAGUUGUAAUUUGAAGAAGGUAUCUUUGAGGCUGGCUCUUGUCUAUGUUCCUUGGAACAGGACGUCACAGAGGGUGAGAAUCCCGUGCGAUGAGAUGCCCAGUUUCGUGUAAAGUUCCUUCGACGAGUCGAGUUGUUUGGGAAUGCAGCUCUAAGUGGGUGGUAAAUUCCAUCUAAAGCUAAAUAUUGGCGAGAGACCGAUAGCGAACAAGUACUGUGAAGGAAAGAUGAAAAGAACUUUGAAAAGAGAGUGAAAAAGUACGUGAAAUUGUUGAAAGGGAAGGGCUUGAGGUCAGACUUGGUUUACCAGGCCAGCAUCAGUUUGGAUGGCAGGAGAAUAGCAUUGGAAAGUGGCACGGCUUCGGUUGUGUGUUAUAGCCUUUGUUGAUACUGCCUGUCUAGACUGAGGACUGCGU
Molecule: ribosomal RNA, 493 nt
Filed under: Yamadazyma siamensis
Lineage: Eukaryota; Fungi; Ascomycota; Pichiomycetes; Serinales; Debaryomycetaceae
Description: eukaryotic LSU rRNA
Rfam family: Eukaryotic large subunit ribosomal RNA
Source: RNAcentral